ACGCUCGACACCUACGGGAGACAGCAGUGGGGAAUAUUGCACAAUGGGGGAAACCCUGAUGCAGCAACGCCGCGUGAAGGAAGACGGUUUUCGGAUUGUAAACUUCUGUUCUUAGUGAAGAUAGUGACGGUAGCUAAGGAGCAAGCCACGGCUAACUACGUGCUAGCAGCCGCGGUAAUCUGAGCGGGCUGGCAAGGC
Molecule: ribosomal RNA, 198 nt
Filed under: uncultured bacterium
Lineage: Bacteria
Description: partial 16S ribosomal RNA
Rfam family: Bacterial small subunit ribosomal RNA
Source: RNAcentral